UUGGAACAGAGGCUCAUCGGAAGUUUUCUCAGCUGUCCAAGCACAGAGCCCUGGAGCCAAGGCAGCCUGAGCUGCUGCGUGCUUGCUGUGAGCCUUGAGGGCAGGACAGCGUUCAGACUGAAAGUGUGAGAAGAUGUGGAGUGAGACAGAGAAUCUGACAGGAGCACCGGACUCAGAAGUGCACGAAUUUUGCUUUUGGCUUGGAUUUAAACUCAGAAGUUGUAAGGAAUUUGGGAAGGAGAGAGGACAUUUCAGAAGGAGAAGAAGGAGAAGUUGUUGCAGUCCUGGCAAAAUCUUUUGUUCUGGCUAAUAAAAGAAGUGAGUUUAAAAAAUAAAAAAGAAAAAAAAGUG
Non-coding RNA from Agelaius phoeniceus (red-winged blackbird), 351 nucleotides. The record is from RefSeq and is a predicted model, not a curated record. Lineage: Eukaryota; Metazoa; Chordata; Aves; Passeriformes; Icteridae.